RNAcentral lists this ribosomal RNA (439 nucleotides) under uncultured bacterium. RNAcentral describes it as "partial 16S ribosomal RNA". It matches the Rfam family "Bacterial small subunit ribosomal RNA", at positions 338 to 794 of the family's 1533-position model. The record is from RNAcentral.
CCUACGGGGUGCAGCAGUGGGGGAUAUUGCACAAUGGGGGAAACCCUGAUGCAGCGACGCCGCGUGGGUGAAGAAGCGCCUCGGCGCGUAAAGCCCUGUCAGCAGGGAAGAAAAUGACGGUACCUGAAGAAGAAGCCCCGGCUAACUACGUGCCAGCAGCCGCGGUAAUACGUAGGGGGCAAGCGUUAUCCGGAUUUACUGGGUGUAAAGGGGGCGCAGACGGCGAUGCAAGCCAGGAGUGAAAGCCCGGGGCCCAACCCCGGGACUGCUCUUGGAACUGCGUGGCUAGAGUGCAGGAGGGGCAGGCGGAAUUCCUGGUGUAGCGGUGAAAUGCGUAGAUAUCAGGAGGAACACCGGUGGCGAAGGCGGCCUGCUGGACUGCAACUGACGUUGAGGCCCGAAAGCGUGGGGAGCAAACAGGAUUAGAUACCCUUGUAUC